CGUCACAUGUUUCCUCAAGUA
This 21-nucleotide unclassified non-coding RNA is filed under the name Dictyostelium discoideum. The record is from RNAcentral. Lineage: Eukaryota; Evosea; Eumycetozoa; Dictyosteliales; Dictyosteliaceae.